GUGGGGAAUCUUCCGCAAUGGACGAAAGUCUGACGGAGCAACGCCGCGUGAGUGAUGAAGGUCUUCGGAUUGUAAAGCUCUGUUAAUCGGGACGAAAGAGCCUAGUGUGAAUAAUGCUAGGAAGUGACGGUACCGGAAUAGAAAGCCACGGCUAACUACGUGCCAGCAGCCGCGGUAAUACGUAGGUGGCAAGCGUUGUCCGGAAUUAUUGGGCGUAAAGCGCGCGCAGGCGGAUCUGCCAGUCUGUCUUAAAAGUUCGGGGCUUAACCCCGUGAUGGGAUGGAAACUACAGAUCUAGAGUAUCGAAGAGGAAAGUGGAAUUCCUAGUGUAGCGGUGAAAUGCGUAGAUAUUAGGAAGAACACCAGUGGCGAAGGCGACUUUCUGGACGAAAACUGACGCUGAGGCGCGAAAGCCAGGGGAGCGAACGGGAUUAGAUACCCGAGUAGUCC
This 450-nucleotide ribosomal RNA is filed under the name uncultured bacterium. Its description in RNAcentral is "partial 16S ribosomal RNA". It matches the Rfam family "Bacterial small subunit ribosomal RNA", at positions 354 to 796 of the family's 1533-position model. The record is from RNAcentral.